RNAcentral lists this ribosomal RNA (253 nucleotides) under uncultured bacterium. RNAcentral describes it as "partial 16S ribosomal RNA". It matches the Rfam family "Bacterial small subunit ribosomal RNA", at positions 524 to 776 of the family's 1533-position model. The record is from RNAcentral.
UACGUAGGGUGCAAGCGUUAAUCGGAAUUACUGGGCGUAAAGCGUGCGCAGGCGGUUUUGUAAGUCUGAUGUGAAAUCCCCGGGCUCAACCUGGGAAUUGCAUUGGAGACUGCAAGGCUAGAAUCUGGCAGAGGGGGGUAGAAUUCCUCGUGUAGCAGUGAAAUGCGUAGAGAUGUGGAGGAACACCGAUGGCGAAGGCAGCCCCCUGGGUCAAGAUUGACGCUCAUGCACGAAAGCGUGGGGAGCAAACAGG